AUAAAGUUUAAUUUUAGCUUGAAAAAUUAAUUUAAUUUUUUUAAUUUACAUGUAAAUUUUUUUGUGUUGAUUAACUUUAAUUUUAAUAAUUAGGUUAAUAAAAAUUAUUCGCAGUAUAUAAUUUUAAUAAUUUAAGAAAUUAAGAAUUAUAAAUAAAUUUUAAUAUUAACAAAUUUUGUGCCAGCAGUUGCGGUUAUACAAAAAAUAUAAAUUAAUUUUAUUAGUAAAUAAUUAUAUGUUAUUAUAUUUAAAUUAAAAUUAUAUUUAUUAGGUGAAAUUUUAAAUAUAAAUAUAUUUAUAUAAAAUAUUUAAUAAUUAUGAAAUUUUUAUUUAAACUAGGAUUAGAUACCCUAUUAUUUAAAAUGUAAAUUUAUUUUACUUAAGUAGUAUUAGUUAUGAUCUUGAAAUUUAAAAAUUUUGGCGGUAUUUUAGUCUAUUUAGAGGAACCUGUUCUGUAAUUGAUAGUCCACGAUUAACUUUACUUUUAUUAAAAAAUUUGUAUACCGUUGUUAUAAGAAAAUUUUAUAAGAAUUUUAAAUUUUUAAUAUUUUAAAUUAAAAAAUAUAUCAGAUCAAGGUACAGUUAUAUAAAAGAAGAAAUGGGUUACAAUAAAUUUAUUUAUUAUGGAUUAAAAAUUUAAAAUUUUUAUGAAAGUGGAUUUAAUAGUAAUUAAGUUUAUAUAAAUUUAAUGAUUUUAGCUCUAAAAUAUGUACAUAUCGCCCGUCACUCUUAUUAUAAAAUAAGAUAAGUCGUAACAUAGUAGAUGUACUGGAAAGUGUAUCUAGAAUGAC
This 791-nucleotide non-coding RNA is filed under the name Bembidion varium. The record is from RNAcentral. Lineage: Eukaryota; Metazoa; Arthropoda; Insecta; Coleoptera; Carabidae.